CGUGCUUCUGAAAACCAAGCACGAUGCUCCUCAGGGCCCAGAACCCAGGCAUCCCUGCAGGGCCGCCCCAGGCCAGAUGAAAAAACCGAGGCCCAGAGAAAUGUACCCAAAGUCACACAGCAAGCAAGCAAGGAGCCAGAUGCUCACACAAGAAACUGUUGAGUGGCUGUUUGGGAAGAGCCAGUGCUUUUUGCUGUACACCCCGCAUACGCACGUGAAUGAUUCUUACCGCGAUCCAUUGGAGGACUGCUUCCGUCAAUACAGAGGAGAUCAUUUGUCCUACGAGUUCACAUGGAGAUAAUAUCACAGGCCCGGAGCCUCCAAUGGUCAGCAGAAACUUGGAUGUGAGGGGAUUCUCAAACUACGUCUAAGGGGCCCAAUCCAGCCCUUCUCUUGGCUUUCUUCUUUUCCU
Nyctereutes procyonoides (raccoon dog) is the source of this 412-nucleotide long non-coding RNA. RefSeq lists it as uncharacterized. The record is from RefSeq and is a predicted model, not a curated record. Lineage: Eukaryota; Metazoa; Chordata; Mammalia; Carnivora; Canidae. The transcript has 3 exons.